GGUUACGAUGGCUCAGUAGUAAAGCAUCUGUUUUGGGUGCCGAAGGUCCCGGGUUCAAUCACCAGCAUCGCCA
Molecule: transfer RNA, 73 nt
Filed under: Sphaerodactylus townsendi
Lineage: Eukaryota; Metazoa; Chordata; Lepidosauria; Squamata; Sphaerodactylidae
Description: tRNA-Pro
Source: RNAcentral